UAUUAUAUGCCUUAUAAUUGUCAUAAAUUGUUAUAUUCAUAUAUAAUGGAUUGUUGAAGUUUUUCUGUGCAUUAGCGUUUUGGUAGCAUUCGACAUAAAACCAGUUUAAUGUAAACAUAACAAAGAUUUCAAGAUCAACGCUUUCACACUAUUUACAUCCAAUAAAAUACGCUGGAAUGAAAUUACUUUCAGGCUUACACACGCCGGUGAAUUUGUUAUUUUGCAUUGUUGCAUUUCCAACUUUAAAGAAUCAAAUCAUUACUCCUAUAGUAAAAUAACAGUGAAAUAUUUAAGAUAUAAAUCAUCGUGUAUACACUUUUAGCAUAUUUUUUAUGAUUCCGAUGACGGCGAAAUAGCCAUUGCCCCC
Molecule: long non-coding RNA, 367 nt
Filed under: Mytilus galloprovincialis (Mediterranean mussel)
Lineage: Eukaryota; Metazoa; Mollusca; Bivalvia; Mytilida; Mytilidae
Source: RNAcentral